Molecule: long non-coding RNA, 534 nt
Organism: Maylandia zebra (zebra mbuna)
Lineage: Eukaryota; Metazoa; Chordata; Actinopteri; Cichliformes; Cichlidae
Source: RefSeq, a predicted model, not a curated record
CUUCUGGCCACUAGUGGCAGCAGUGCGGCCAUUCACGGCAGCAUACUGGAACUGAUGAUGAUACACCUCCUGCCUCCCACACUAACCACAAAGCAGUCAGCCUUAUUCUGUGACUCCUUCCAGCCUAUAAAAUCGCCCCGUGUGCUUCCCUCCCCCAUUGCUUGUCACCGUCCAGUCCCCUGGGGCGUCUGUCUGGGAUCUGCCAGGCUCAUCAGUGAGGAGAGGAGAAGGCUAACUGGGAGCCCUUACUGGCUGUAAAUCCAGAGAGGGUGGAGAACUUGCAGCGGCCACACGUCCACUGCAGCCCAGUAAGUCCAGCAGCCACCUCUCCUCCCCCCAGCCCCCAGUACACUUAAGACACUUACAAUCCGUCUGCAUGUGCAAAUGCAUUCACACAAGUACUCAACAAGGGUUUGUUCUCCUACUGUUCAAAGUUAACCUAACUUAAUCCUGUUGCAACCUGACCCAAGGAAUGGGAUUUUAGACACCAGGUAUUUUGAUGCAGACAUUCUGUAUCUUUAUAUAAAGGUUGAG